AGCGGUGAGAGGAGGGGCGUUUGUGUAUGUGUGAAGGAGCAGUCGGUCUCCUCCCCUCGUCUCCCCCCGCCCUCUCGCGCCCCCCARGCCUUUGUGUGCGCGAGGCUCUCUGUGAGCGGCGGUUCUUCAAGUGAGAUAUCGGUUCGUUUCUGAGCGCUGUUUGGGUGGGCUGUUCGAACAUAGCGUGGCUGACUGGGACUGGGGUGAACCGGUAAAAGGCACGUGAAACGUCGGAGUUUAUUCACACACGCGCGAUCAGAAGGGAAAAUAACGGAGAAAUAUCGAAUAUAGGACUUUCCCCUUUCGUCUUACCCAUCUAUCAUUCUCUCGUCCUCUCUAUCCGUGGAGAAUCUGACCAACCCAAACCACCUGAUGUGUGUGUAUGUGUGUUUUGGGGGCGUAAAACAACGGGCAGCGAGUGAAGAUGGAUUAACGUUUGAACGGAAAACUGGAGCAGCACACUAGACCUCGGCGAGGGGGGAGGGCAAGACGGGCCUCUGCUAACACACACAACCCGCGGGACAGAGACUCUGAUUGGACCAACACCAGGAUGAUGUCGUCACCGAAAGCAAGACCAA
Salvelinus sp. IW2-2015 is the source of this 578-nucleotide long non-coding RNA. RefSeq lists it as uncharacterized. The record is from RefSeq and is a predicted model, not a curated record. Lineage: Eukaryota; Metazoa; Chordata; Actinopteri; Salmoniformes; Salmonidae.